Molecule: ribosomal RNA, 327 nt
Filed under: uncultured eukaryote
Lineage: Eukaryota
Description: partial 18S ribosomal RNA
Rfam family: Eukaryotic small subunit ribosomal RNA
Source: RNAcentral
CCCUUAGAUGUUCUGGGCCGCACGCGCGCUACACUGAUGAAUUCAACGAGCUCACAACCUUGACCGAAAGGCCCGGGUAAACUCCGAAAUUUCAUCGUGAUGGGGAUAGACUAUUGCAAUUAUUAGUCUUCAACGAGGAAUUCCUAGUAAGCGCGAUUCAUCAGAUCGCGUUGAUUACGUCCCUGCCCUUUGUACACACCGCCCGUCGCUCCUACCGAUUGAAUGAUCCGGUGAAAUCUUCGGAUUGCUGGCAGUGGCUUCGCAAGUUGCCAUUGCUGCGAAAAGUUGAUUAAACCUUAUCAUUUAGAGGAAGGAGAAGUCGUAACA